This is a long non-coding RNA of Papaver somniferum (opium poppy), 599 nucleotides long. RefSeq lists it as uncharacterized. NCBI's taxonomy places the organism in Eukaryota, Viridiplantae, Streptophyta, Magnoliopsida, Ranunculales, Papaveraceae. The transcript is spliced from 2 exons. The record is from RefSeq and is a predicted model, not a curated record.
AUGGAUCAUACGUCAACCCCGGAGGAGCAAAAAGCAUUUAUAGCGUCGUGGAUCGCAGUAAGGUCAGUUCCAGUUGUAUAAGGAGUUGAAAGAGAUGUAGAUACCUUUUGGCCAUCGGUUCAUAACCAUUUUGUUACAAACUUUACGAAUCCUAAGCAAAGAACAACAUUUGAUGUAAGACAUCAUGUUAGAAUAAUACUAAGGCAUGUUAGGAUGUAUGCUAUCAUCCAAGCCAAGCUGCUCAGAAGACUCAGAUGUAGUUCUAUUCCAAAUAAUAUCGAACGGAUGACGAAAGUGCGGUUCCGAAAAGAAAAUGAUAUUAAAUUUGAGUUUUAUGAAUGCUACCUUUUGUUGAAGGACGUCGUGGAUGACUUCAACUCGUUGAUAAUAGCAAGGCGCAUGGGGUAAUGUAACAUCACCGUUCUUAUUGGUUUUGUGGGUAUACCUCUUGUAAACCCUCCCGAGAGUCCGCUCGGCCGCUAGGGACACCUACCGGUUUAAAGGAUUGUUGUCUGUUUAUUAUCGUUGAACUUUUAUAUCGUUUCGCCGUACGUGUACUAAUUUCAAAUUAAUGAAGUAAAUCAUAUUAUGUUUCAAAA